Molecule: ribosomal RNA, 511 nt
Filed under: uncultured Glomeraceae
Lineage: Eukaryota; Fungi; Glomeromycota; Glomeromycetes; Glomerales; Glomeraceae
Description: SSU rRNA
Rfam family: Eukaryotic small subunit ribosomal RNA
Source: RNAcentral
AGCAGCCGCGGUAAUUCCAGCUCCAAUAGCGUAUAUUAAAGUUGUUGCAGUUAAAAAGCUCGUAGUUGAAUUUCGGGGUUAGUAGGUUGGUCGUGCCACUGGUACGUACUGGUCUCACUGACUCCUCCUUCCUGAUGAACUGUAAUGCCAUUAAUUUGGUGUUGCGGGGAAACUGGACUGUUACUUUGAAAAAAUUAGAGUGUUUAAAGCAAGCUAACGCUUGAAUACAUUAGCAUGGAAUAAUGAAAUAGGACGUUCGAUCCUAUUUUGUGGUUUCUAGGAUUGACGUAAUGAUUAAUAGGGAUAGUUGGGGCAUUAGUAUUCAAUUGUCAGAGGUGAAAUUCUUGGAUUUAUUGAAGACUAACUACUGCGAAAGCAUUUGCCAAGGAUGUUUUCAUUAAUCAAGAACGAAAGUUAGGGGAUCGAAGACGAUCAGAUACCGUCGUAGUCUUAACCAUAAACUAUGCCGACUAGGGAUCAGAUGAUGUUAAUUUUUUAUGUACUCAUUCGG